This 292-nucleotide ribosomal RNA is filed under the name uncultured bacterium. RNAcentral describes it as "partial 16S ribosomal RNA". The record is from RNAcentral.
GGACUACCGGGGUAUCUAAUCCUGUUUGCUCCCCACGCUUUCGUGCCUCAGCGUCAGUGUUAGCCCAGAGGGCUGCCUUCGCCAUCGGUGUUCCUCCGCAUCUCUACGCAUUUCACUGCUACACGCGGAAUUCCACCCUCCUCUGCCACACUCCAGCUCGCCAGUUUCCAUGGCCAUUCCCAGGUUAAGCCCGGGGCUUUCACCACAGACACAACGAACCGCCUACGCACGCUUUACGCCCAGUAAUUCCGAUUAACGCUCGCACCCUACGUAUUACCGCGGCUGCUGGCAC